AGUGAACGCUGGCGGUAGGCCUAACACAUGCAAGUCGAACGGCAGCACAGUAAGAGCUUGCUCUUACGGGUGGCGAGUGGCGGACGGGUGGGGAAUACAUCGGAAUCUACUUUUUCGUGGGGGAUAACGUAGGGAAACUUACGCUAAUACCGCAUACGACCUACGGGUGAAAGCAGGGGAUCUUCGGACCUUGCGCGAUUGAAUGAGCCGAUGUCGGAUUAGCUAGUUGGCGGGGUAAAGGCCCACCAAGGCGACGAUCCGUAGCUGGUCUGAGAGGAUGAUCAGCCACACUGGAACUGAGACACGGUCCAGACGCCUACGGGAGGCAGCAGUGGGGAAUAUUGGACAAUGGGCGCAAGCCUGAUCCAGCCAUACCGCGUGGGUGAAGAAGGCCUUCGGGUUGUAAAGCCCUUUUGUUGGGAAAGAAAAGCAGCAGGUUAAUACCCCGCUGUUCUGACGGUACCCAAAGAAUAAGCACCGGCUAACUUCGUG
RNAcentral lists this ribosomal RNA (492 nucleotides) under uncultured bacterium. RNAcentral's name for it is "partial 16S ribosomal RNA". It matches the Rfam family "Bacterial small subunit ribosomal RNA", at positions 29 to 507 of the family's 1533-position model. The record is from RNAcentral.